RNAcentral lists this long non-coding RNA (1334 nucleotides) under Panicum hallii. Its description in RNAcentral is "long non-coding RNA (PHAL_LNC000538)". Lineage: Eukaryota; Viridiplantae; Streptophyta; Magnoliopsida; Poales; Poaceae. The record is from RNAcentral.
GGGAGCGAGCGCGUGCGCGCGGGCGAGUGAAGGCGCAUUGGCGUGCAGGAAGUGGACGCGGCUCGGCCAGGAGCAGACGCGCACGUGCCCAGCAAGCUGGCGGUUGUGACGCAAACUCGUGAGCGGCACGGCUGGCAGUGCAAGAGCGAAUGUGAGCGACGCCGAGCGGGUGGCGCGAGCGUGCGCGUGGUGACGCAGCGGAAGCUGGUGUCAUAUGCAGUUGUUGGACGGCUGGAGCAUAGCGGGUCCAUGGGCACGAGCAGGCGAUGCUAGUAGUGCGACGUGCCGAGCAACGGCACGCGCAGGAGGAGUUGCGGUGAAGUGGUUUUGCGCAAGAUGCGAGAACACGGUGACAUCGGCCCUAACUACGCCACGGAGGUCCCUGGUGACGCAAGAGUGGCUGUAUCGAAGACGCGAGCUCGCUCGCUCGUAAGAUGCACGAGGGGCGGCGAGCCGGAAGGAAAGAUGGCGAAGCGAAGACGACGGUUAUAGCGCGGCGAAUUCGGAAGGAGUAGCUGUACAGUGGCAAGGUGAUCAGGGCAGAAGUAACGCGGCACGGGUUCGACGCGCAGCGUAUGAUCGGCGGCGGUGGUAGACCGGUCCUGAUGGUAUCACGGCAGAUGGAGAAGACGGCGGAGUUUCAGGAUCCGGAGGUCUGAGCGGGAUUGAAUCGGAGCGUUCGUGAGUGCGAGCGGAAGUAUUAUACUAGUGGCCGGCUCGGCUCAAUUCCGCAGGUGUGUGCGCGUGCAAGGCAGCGGGCCACGCGCGAGCAGAUUAAAAGCCAACUAUCGUCGCCACGGAUCACAUGAGGAAUGUCUCUCCGGUUAUUCUCCACCCACGGCAACCAUGCUCGGCAGACCCCUUUGUCAUCCACGGGAUCUCGUCAUUGUCGAGCUUUUCUCUUCGCCGAUCCUGUUCGCCACGGGAAUUCACCUUUUACCCGUUCUUCUUUCACAUCCGAAAUUACCUCAAGGUUUGCCCUAACCUACUGAAUCUUCUUAAUGCCGGCGAUUCCUUUGCCGGGAUAUCGUCGUUAACAUCCUGUUAUCUGUUUUCCCGGACCUGGGACUUGAUUGCUAUGUUUUAGAUAGUUCUAGGGUGUUUUCUGUAAGAUUUCCAGAACUUUCUUUAUUUCAAAUCGAUGAACUUCUACAUUUCAUAGAUUUUCAUAGGAAGUUCAUAAAAAUGUAAAAUCAGUUUCGUUUGAAACCCUAAGUCAAAACCUAUAAGUUUUAUGUUGUGAUCUUGAGUGAAAGACUUUGAUGUGUGGUUUAGGUCAAAUGUUAGGGAAUGAAUGUUUUAUUGUGCUUUAUAUUGUGUGCUUGUGUUAUAAC